UUUUCGGAUCGUAAAGCUCUGUUGUUAGGGAAGAACAAGUGCAAGAGUAUCUGCUUGCACCUUGACGGUACCUAACCAGAAAGCCACGGCUAACUACGUGCCAGCAGCCGCGGUAAUACGUAGGUGGCAAGCGUUGUCCGGAAUUAUUGGGCGUAAAGGGCUCGCAGGCGGUUUCUUAAGUCUGAUGUGAAAGCCCCCGGCUCAACCGGGGAGGGUCAUUGGAAACUGGGAAACUUGAGUGCAGAAGAGGAGAGUGGAAUUCCACGUGUAGCGGUGAAAUGCGUAGAGAUGUGGAGGAACACCAGUGGCGAAGGCGACUCUCUGGUCUGUAACUGACGCUGAGGAGCGAAAGCGUGGGGAGCGAACAGGAUUAGAUACCCUGGUAGUCCACGCCGUAAACGAUGAGUGCUAAGUGUUAGGGGGUUUCCGCCCCUUAGUGCUGCAGCUAACGCAUUAAGCACUCCGCCUGGGGAGUACGGUCGCAAGACUGAAACUCAAAGGAAUUGACGGGGGCCCGCACAAGCGGUGGAGCAUGUGGUUUAAUUCGAAGCAACGCGAAGAACCUUACCAGGUCUUGACAUCCUCUGACAACCCUAGAGAUAGGGCUUUCCCUUCGGGGACAGAGUGACAGGUGGUGCAUGGUUGUCGUCAGCUCGUGUCGUGAGAUGUUGGGUUAAGUCCCGCAACGAGCGCAACCCUUGAUCUUAGUUGCCAGCAUUCAGUUGGGCACUCUAAGGUGACUGCCGGUGACAAACCGGAGGAAGGUGGGGAUGACGUCAAAUCAUCAUGCCCCUUAUGACCUGGGCUACACACGUGCUACAAUGGACAGAACAAAGGGCUGCGAGACCGCAAGGUUUAGCCAAUCCCACAAAUCUGUUCUCAGUUCGGAUCGCAGUCUGCAACUCGACUG
This 910-nucleotide ribosomal RNA is filed under the name Bacillus sp. (in: firmicutes). RNAcentral's name for it is "bacterial SSU rRNA". It matches the Rfam family "Bacterial small subunit ribosomal RNA", at positions 415 to 1318 of the family's 1533-position model. The record is from RNAcentral. Lineage: Bacteria; Bacillati; Bacillota; Bacilli; Caryophanales; Bacillaceae.